RNAcentral lists this ribosomal RNA (1017 nucleotides) under Escherichia coli. RNAcentral describes it as "partial 23S ribosomal RNA". It matches the Rfam family "Bacterial large subunit ribosomal RNA", at positions 558 to 1578 of the family's 2925-position model. The record is from RNAcentral. Lineage: Bacteria; Pseudomonadati; Pseudomonadota; Gammaproteobacteria; Enterobacterales; Enterobacteriaceae.
GUGUACGUACAAGCAGUGGGAGCACGCUUAGGCGUGUGACUGCGUACCUUUUGUAUAAUGGGUCAGCGACUUAUAUUCUGUAGCAAGGUUAACCGAAUAGGGGAGCCGAAGGGAAACCGAGUCUUAACUGGGCGUUAAGUUGCAGGGUAUAGACCCGAAACCCGGUGAUCUAGCCAUGGGCAGGUUGAAGGUUGGGUAACACUAACUGGAGGACCGAACCGACUAAUGUUGAAAAAUUAGCGGAUGACUUGUGGCUGGGGGUGAAAGGCCAAUCAAACCGGGAGAUAGCUGGUUCUCCCCGAAAGCUAUUUAGGUAGCGCCUCGUGAAUUCAUCUCCGGGGGUAGAGCACUGUUUCGGCAAGGGGGUCAUCCCGACUUACCAACCCGAUGCAAACUGCGAAUACCGGAGAAUGUUAUCACGGGAGACACACGGCGGGUGCUAACGUCCGUCGUGAAGAGGGAAACAACCCAGACCGCCAGCUAAGGUCCCAAAGUCAUGGUUAAGUGGGAAACGAUGUGGGAAGGCCCAGACAGCCAGGAUGUUGGCUUAGAAGCAGCCAUCAUUUAAAGAAAGCGUAAUAGCUCACUGGUCGAGUCGGCCUGCGCGGAAGAUGUAACGGGGCUAAACCAUGCACCGAAGCUGCGGCAGCGACGCUGAUGCGUUGUUGGGUAGGGGAGCGUUCUGUAAGCCUGCGAAGGUGUGCUGUGAGGCAUGCUGGAGGUAUCAGAAGUGCGAAUGCUGACAUAAGUAACGAUAAAGCGGGUGAAAAGCCCGCUCGCCGGAAGACCAAGGGUUCCUGUCCAACGUUAAUCGGGGCAGGGUGAGUCGACCCCUAAGGCGAGGCCGAAAGGCGUAGUCGAUGGGAAACAGGUUAAUAUUCCUGUACUUGGUGUUACUGCGAAGGGGGGACGGAGAAGGCUAUGUUGGCCGGGCGACGGUUGUCCCGGUUUAAGCGUGUAGGCUGGUUUUCCAGGCAAAUCCGGAAAAUCAAGGCUGAGGCGUGAUGACGAGGCACU